RNAcentral lists this ribosomal RNA (1148 nucleotides) under Escherichia coli. RNAcentral's name for it is "partial 23S ribosomal RNA". It matches the Rfam family "Bacterial large subunit ribosomal RNA", at positions 1 to 1191 of the family's 2925-position model. The record is from RNAcentral. Lineage: Bacteria; Pseudomonadati; Pseudomonadota; Gammaproteobacteria; Enterobacterales; Enterobacteriaceae.
GUUAAGCGACUAAGCGUACACGGUGGAUGCCCUGGCAGUCAGAGGCGAUGAAGGACGUGCUAAUCUGCGAUAAGCGUCGGUAAGGUGAUAUGAACCGUUAUAACCGGCGAUUUCCGAAUGGGGAAACCCAGUGUGAUUCGUCACACUAUCAUUAACUGAAUCCAUAGGUUAAUGAGGCGAACCGGGGGAACUGAAACAUCUAAGUACCCCGAGGAAAAGAAAUCAACCGAGAUUCCCCCAGUAGCGGCGAGCGAACGGGGAGGAGCCCAGAGCCUGAAUCAGUGUGUGUGUUAGUGGAAGCGUCUGGAAAGGCGCGCGAUACAGGGUGACAGCCCCGUACACAAAAAUGCACAUGCUGUGAGCUCGAUGAGUAGGGCGGGACACGUGGUAUCCUGUCUGAAUAUGGGGGGACCAUCCUCCAAGGCUAAAUACUCCUGACUGACCGAUAGUGAACCAGUACCGUGAGGGAAAGGCGAAAAGAACCCCGGCGAGGGGAGUGAAAAAGAACCUGAAACCGUGUACGUACAAGCAGUGGGAGCCUCUUUUAUGGGGUGACUGCGUACCUUUUGUAUAAUGGGUCAGCGACUUAUAUUCUGUAGCAAGGUUAACCGAAUAGGGGAGCCGAAGGGAAACCGAGUCUUAACUGGGCGUUAAGUUGCAGGGUAUAGACCCGAAACCCGGUGAUCUAGCCAUGGGCAGGUUGAAGGUUGGGUAACACUAACUGGAGGACCGAACCGACUAAUGUUGAAAAAUUAGCGGAUGACUUGUGGCUGGGGGUGAAAGGCCAAUCAAACCGGGAGAUAGCUGGUUCUCCCCGAAAGCUAUUUAGGUAGCGCCUCGUGAAUUCAUCUCCGGGGGUAGAGCACUGUUUCGGCAAGGGGGUCAUCCCGACUUACCAACCCGAUGCAAACUGCGAAUACCGGAGAAUGUUAUCACGGGAGACACACGGCGGGUGCUAACGUCCGUCGUGAAGAGGGAAACAACCCAGACCGCCAGCUAAGGUCCCAAAGUCAUGGUUAAGUGGGAAACGAUGUGGGAAGGCCCAGACAGCCAGGAUGUUGGCUUAGAAGCAGCCAUCAUUUAAAGAAAGCGUAAUAGCUCACUGGUCGAGUCGGCCUGCGCGGAAGAUGUAACGGGGCUAAACCAUG